Molecule: ribosomal RNA, 454 nt
Filed under: uncultured Rikenellaceae bacterium
Lineage: Bacteria; Pseudomonadati; Bacteroidota; Bacteroidia; Bacteroidales; Rikenellaceae
Description: partial 16S ribosomal RNA
Rfam family: Bacterial small subunit ribosomal RNA
Source: RNAcentral
ACGGAAGGCAGCAGUGAGGAAUAUUGGUCAAUGGACGCAAGUCCGAACCAGCCAUGCCGCGUGCAGGAAUAAGGCCCUAUGGGUCGUAAACUGCUUUUGUGGUGGAGCAAUAAGUCGUACGUGUACGGCGAUGAGAGUACAUCACGAAUAAGCAUCGGCUAACUCCGUGCCAGCAGCCGCGGUAAUACGGAGGAUGCAAGCGUUAUCCGGAUUUAUUGGGUUUAAAGGGUGCGUAGGCUGUGGUCCAAGUCAGGGGUGAAAGCCCGGAGCUCAACUCCGGAACUGCCUUUGAUACUGGAUUGCUGGAAUACGGAUGCCGUGGGAGGAAUGAGUAGUGUAGCGGUGAAAUGCAUAGAUAUUACUCAGAACACCGAUUGCGAAGGCAUCUCACGAAUCCGUCAUUGACGCUGAGGCACGAAAGCGUGGGGAUCAAACAGGAUUAGAUACCCUGGUA